GAUGAACGCUGGCGGCGUGCCUAAUACAUGCAAGUCGAGCGAACGGACGAGAAGCUUGCUUCUCUGAUGUUAGCGGCGGACGGGUGAGUAACACGUGGAUAACCUACCUAUAAGACUGGGAUAACUUCGGGAAACCGUAGCUAAUACCGGAUAAUAUUAUGAACCGCAUGGUUCAAAAGUGAAAGACGGUCUUGCUGUCACUUAUAGAUGGAUCCGCGCUGCAUUAGCUAGUUGGUAAGGUAACGGCUUACCAAGGCAACGGUGCUUAGCCGACCUGAAAGGGAGGACGGCCACACUGGCACUGAGGCACGGUCCAGACUCCUACGGGGGGCAGCAGUAGGGAAUCUUCCGCGAUGGGCGAAAGCCUGACGGAGCAACGCCGCGUGAGUGAUGAAGGUCUUCGGAUCGUAAAACUCUGUUAUUAGGGAAGAACAUAUGUGUAAGUAACUGUGCACAUCUUGACGGUACCUAAUCAGAAAGCCACGGCUAACUACGUG
Molecule: ribosomal RNA, 497 nt
Filed under: uncultured bacterium
Lineage: Bacteria
Description: partial 16S ribosomal RNA
Rfam family: Bacterial small subunit ribosomal RNA
Source: RNAcentral